This 424-nucleotide ribosomal RNA is filed under the name uncultured bacterium. RNAcentral's name for it is "partial 16S ribosomal RNA". It matches the Rfam family "Bacterial small subunit ribosomal RNA", at positions 355 to 783 of the family's 1533-position model. The record is from RNAcentral.
UGGGGAAUAUUGGACAAUGGGCGGAAGCCUGAUCCAGCAACGCCGCGUGAGGGAUGACGGCCUUCGGGUUGUAAACCUCUUUCAGCACAGACGAAGCGCAAGUGACGGUAUGUGCAGAAGAAGGACCGGCCAACUACGUGCCAGCAGCCGCGGUAAUACGUAGGGUCCGAGCGUUGUCCGGAAUUAUUGGGCGUAAAGGGCUCGUAGGCGUUUGUCGCGUCGGGGAGUGAAAAACACCGGGGCUUAAACUCGGUGCUUGCUUUCGAUACGGGCAGACUAGAGGCAUUCAGGGGGAGAACGGAAUUCCUGGUGUAGCGGUGAAAAUGCGCAGAUAUCAGGAGGAACACCGGUGGCGAAAGGCGGUUCUCUGGGAAUGUCCUGACGCUGAGGAGCGAAAAGUGUGGGGGAGCGAACAGGAUUAGAU